GACGAACGCUGGCGGCGUGCUUAACACAUGCAAGUCGAACGGAAAGGCCCUGCUUUUGUGGGGUGCUCGAGUGGCGAACGGGUGAGUAACACGUGAGUAACCUGCCCUUGACCUUGGGAUAACUUCAGGAAACUGGGGCUAAUACCGGAUAGGAGCUCCUGCUGCAUGGUGGGGGUUGGAAAGUUUCGGCGGAUGGGGAUGGACUCGCGGCUUAUCAGCUUGUUGGUGGGGUAGUGGCUUACCAAGGCUUUGACGGGUAGCCGGCCUGAGAGGGUGACCGGCCACAUUGGGACUGAGAUACGGCCCAGACUCCUACGGGAGGCAGCAGUGGGGAAUAUUGCACAAUGGGCGGAAGCCUGAUGCAGCAACGCCGCGUGAGGGAUGACGGCCUUCGGGUUGUAAACCGCUUUCGCCUGUGACGAAGCGUGAGUGACGGUAAUGGGUAAAGAAGCACCGGCUAACUACGUG
This 468-nucleotide ribosomal RNA is filed under the name uncultured bacterium. Its description in RNAcentral is "partial 16S ribosomal RNA". It matches the Rfam family "Bacterial small subunit ribosomal RNA", at positions 28 to 507 of the family's 1533-position model. The record is from RNAcentral.